UUUCCGUAGGUGAACCUGCGGAAGGAUCAUUAAAGAGAUCAUGCCCUCACGGGUAGACCUCCCACCCUUUGUUUACAAUACCUUUGUUGCUUUGGCGGGCCCGUUUGGCCCCGCGCUGAACAACCGGCCCCGGCUGGUCAGUGCCCGCCAGAGAACCGAAAACUCUGAAUUAAAUGUCGUCUGAGUACUAUGUAAUAGUUAAAACUUUCAACAACGGAUCUCUUGGCUCUG
This 231-nucleotide unclassified non-coding RNA is filed under the name plant metagenome. Its description in RNAcentral is "partial contains small subunit ribosomal RNA, internal transcribed spacer 1, and 5.8S ribosomal RNA". The record is from RNAcentral.